GAUACCGUCGUAGUCUUAACUAUAAAUGAUACUGACCAGGGAUAGGAUACUGUCCAUCUCGACUCUUCCCGGACCUUGGAGAAAUCAGAGUCUUUGAGUUCUGGGGGGAGUAUGGUCGCAAGGCUGAAACUUAAAGGAAUUGACGGAAGGGCACACAAAGAGUGGAACCUGCGGCUUAAUUUGACUCAACACGGGAAAACUCACCAGGUCCGGAUACACGUAUGAAAGACAAGCUGAAAGACUUUUCUCAAUGAUGUAAGUGGUGGUGCAUGGUCGUUCUUAGUUCGUGGAGUGAUUUGUCUGGUCUAUUCCGAUAACGAGCGAGACCCCGACGUUCCUAAUAGGGGUAGCAGCCCGGCUCGACCGCAAGGUCUUGUUAGCCGCUACCUCAUACAAGCUUCUUAGACGUAUCAGAGCCGAUAAGGUUCUUGAAAUGGGUUAAUAACAGGUCAGUCAUGCCCUUAGAUGUUCUGGGCCGCACGCGCGUUACAAUGGCAUGUAAAGAAAGUGCUCACAAGGGCGUAUCCGCGGCUCUACGGGUCGCGGUAACCCCUAGUCCCUGCCUUGACUGGGACAGACUAUUGUAAUUAUUGGUCUCAAACGAGGAAUUUUUAGUAGUCGCAGGUCAUUAGCCUGCGACGAAUGCGUCCCUGCCCUGAUGCGAAGCGAGGUGUGCCUAGCAGAUGAUCGAGACCCCGGUCGCUCCGGACUCGGUUGGAAGCGAAGCCAAGACGAUGCCAUGCAGUCCGCCUAGUCGUGUACCGGUAGCUCCGGUGUCGGCUAGGGUCCGAAGCAAGGCUAGUGCCUCGAGUUGCUAGGCGCCAACAGGGGGAGGGUCAAACCUCACUCCUAGUCCCGGUACGUGUGUGUGAUGAGGGUCGCUCCUACCGAUUGGG
This 896-nucleotide ribosomal RNA is filed under the name Craterium obovatum. RNAcentral's name for it is "SSU rRNA". The stretch from base 1 to 693 matches the Rfam family "Eukaryotic small subunit ribosomal RNA", at positions 1011 to 1831 of the family's 1831-position model. The record is from RNAcentral. Lineage: Eukaryota; Evosea; Eumycetozoa; Physariida; Physaraceae.